RNAcentral lists this unclassified non-coding RNA (368 nucleotides) under soil metagenome. RNAcentral's name for it is "partial contains 5.8S ribosomal RNA, internal transcribed spacer 2, and large subunit ribosomal RNA". The stretch from base 1 to 120 matches the Rfam family "5.8S ribosomal RNA", at positions 35 to 154 of the family's 154-position model. The record is from RNAcentral.
GAUGAAGAACGUAGCGAAAUGCGAUAAGUAGUGUGAAUUGCAGAAUUCAGUGAAUCAUCGAAUCUUUGAACGCACAUUGCGCCCCUUGGUAUUCCGGGGGGCAUGCCUGUUCGAGCGUCAUUAUAACCCCUCACGCCGGCGGAGGCGUGGUCAUGGCGGCGGUGGCGUGCCCCGAGAGGGAGGCCACCGCGCUGGAAUCCAUGGGCGGACGCCUGCCGCGUGGCCGAGCGUGAUAAGACGCACUGGCGCUCGCGCGCGGCGAGGCUGCCGGCCCUGGCCCGCUCGUCGGGCGGGGACAGCAACACUUGGGAACUCCUCGAAUCAGGUAGGGAUACCCGCUGAACUUAAGCAUAUCAAUAAGCGGAGGA